RNAcentral lists this small RNA (659 nucleotides) under Arabidopsis thaliana (thale cress). RNAcentral's name for it is "ATSL050090". The record is from RNAcentral. Lineage: Eukaryota; Viridiplantae; Streptophyta; Magnoliopsida; Brassicales; Brassicaceae.
GAAUAAAUGGAGAAAUUGACGGAAAAAAAGGGAAAAAAUGUUGUUUAAUAUACCAACUUUCAAAAAGUGGCCAUUUAAACUAUGAACUCCAUAUAUGGCCAAAUAAAACUUAGUAAAAGCGUUGAUCGGCCAUUUUAUAUAUUCCAAAACAUUGAUCCGGCCAAAAACCCUGCGACGUUAGCAGUCGUUAAUAGAGUCGAUAAUAGGCGUUAGCAGACGUUAAUUAAUCCGUUUAAACACAAACGACGUCGUUUUGUGUUUAAUCGAAACCAACAAAAUUCCCAAUUCGAUUCUCAAUCCCUAAAAUCCCCAAUUCCAAUUCUCAUGCCCUAAAAUUCCCAAAUUCAAAAAUCUUCAAAAGCCUCUCCAUUUUUGUUCGUUUGAAGAUUUUUGUGUUUAAACGGAUUAAUUAACGCCUGCUAACGCCUGUUAUCGACUCUGUUAACGACUGCUAACGUCGCAGGAUUUUUGGCCUGGUCAACGUUUUGAGAUGUAUAAAAUGGUCGGUCAACGCUUUUACUAAGUUUUAUUUGGCCAUAUAUGGAGUUCAUGGUUUAAAUGGCCACUUUUUGAAAGUUGGUGUAUUAAACAACAUUUUUCCCGAAAAAAAAUGAAUAAAUGGAGAAACUAUUGAUUAGUUAGUUGCUUAACUCAAAUCU